UGGGGAAUAUUGGGCAAUGGGCGAAAGCCUGACCCAGCAACGCCGCGUGAAGGAAGAAGGUUUUCGGAUUGUAAACUUCUGUCCUCAGGGAAGAAGAAAGUGACGGUACCUGAGGAGGAAGCCCCGGCUAACUACGUGCCAGCAGCCGCGGUAAUACGUAGGGGGCGAGCGUUGUCCGGAAUGACUGGGCGUAAAGGGCGCGUAGACGGCUGUCUAAGUCUGGAGUGAAAGUCCUGCUUUCAAGGUGGGAAUUGCUUUGGAGACUGGAUGGCUUGAGUGCGGAAGAGGUAAGUGGAAUUCCCAGUGUAGCGGUGAAAUGCGUAGAGAUUGGGAGGAACACCAGUGGCGAAGGCGACUUACUGGGCCGUAACUGACGUUGAUGCGCGAAAGCGUGGGGAGCGAACAGG
RNAcentral lists this ribosomal RNA (407 nucleotides) under uncultured Christensenellaceae bacterium. RNAcentral's name for it is "bacterial SSU rRNA". It matches the Rfam family "Bacterial small subunit ribosomal RNA", at positions 355 to 776 of the family's 1533-position model. Lineage: Bacteria; Bacillati; Bacillota; Clostridia; Christensenellales; Christensenellaceae. The record is from RNAcentral.